This 376-nucleotide long non-coding RNA is filed under the name Amborella trichopoda. RNAcentral's name for it is "long non-coding RNA (ATRI_LNC000842)". Lineage: Eukaryota; Viridiplantae; Streptophyta; Magnoliopsida; Amborellales; Amborellaceae. The record is from RNAcentral.
AAUACUAGAAAUCUUUGUGAUAGUCUUAAAAUAUAUUUUCAUAUCUAAUUAUAAAAUUUAAAGCAUAAAAAAUAAUGUAGAUUGAGCUGUUCUAUGAAAACUUGAAAAUCUUGAAAAUUGACGGUCCAAAAAUACAAUACUAGAUACACUAUUUCAAAAACUUGAAAUCUAUUUUUUUCUCAUAUCCAUGUAUCUUAACGUCGAGAUGAUAAAUUUGAGGAUGUUUGGGCUUCAAAACAUCAUCUUCUAGUCGAAUUAAGGUGCACUUUAAUUUGAUUUUUUAGACCCUCGAAAAACUUUUUCCUUAAAAGAAAGAGGUUUAUUUUGGGCAGGCACGUGAGUUGGAUUUGUCAAAAGGUAAGGUGGUAAGUUUUCU